AUGCUCAGAGUCCUCACUCUCUCUCCCCUCCGCACGGUACUUCUGGCCCGGGACGUGGGAUGGUUCCGACCAGUCCUUCGGCCCCGCCGCCUUUCUCUGCCCGCCCCUCUGCCCCGGGCAGCGGGGACCCAGGAGAGUUCGCACGCGGAGGAGCCCGCCUCGCGGGGCUGGGGUGCGGGCGCCGACGUCUCAGGCACCCGCGCACGCUGUCGCGGACCCCAACCCCGGCCGGGACCCCCGCACCCCCACGCCCCCGGUGGGAACUCGCGGCCCCCCAGCCGGCGCCGAGAAGUCGGGGGGACGCGGCCGGAGGCCAGGGGCCGUGCGCGCAGGAGGCCGCGGCCGAGCCGAGAGUGCGGGGCCGGGGUCUCUCAGGGCUGUCCGUGGAAGCCGGCGGGGCCCGAGGGUCGCGGGGCCGGGAGACGCACAAACACGGAGCCUCAGCCUUUCACAGGCGCGCGCCACCGGGUUUCAGGGACGUUCCUGGGCCUGGAGUCUCCCGAGUCAGCAGGCGCGGACACCAGCGGCUCGCUCUCUCCAGCCCUUCCUCGUCCUCAAGGUCACCUUUUCUGUGGAAAUCUAACGGUUUCAGGGACGUUCUCCCUGGGACGUGGUCACACACACCUGGGGUGCACAUGCAGCUGGUGUUUGAUGGAGCUUAGAUUCGAUCAGGCAGGCAGGAAAGGCCACGGAGGCCCAUUUCACAGACGGGAAAGUGUGUCUGUGUGUUGGGAAGUGGGCUCAGGCCUGGCUGAGCAGGGUAACCCAAUGGACACCUGUACAGAGGCGUUCCUCUCCCGUGGUGCCCGGGUGGACCCGGGCAGGGAGACCCCCCGGGAACCCCAGGAUACAGAACAGGGAUGAAACUACAAAGACAGCAGAGGACACGCGGAGACAGCAGGACACACGCCAGGGGAGACCAGGUGGACACCCAGGAGGAGGCGACGGCCCCUGCCCGCCGAGGAGAGAACCCCUCCCUGGGACACCUUGCCCUUGGCCUCCGGAGCUGCGGAGGAAACAUUUGUGUUGCUGGAGCCGCCCUGGGUCGCAUCGCAGCCACCUCGUUCCAGGCCAUGGCUGUCUGCCCAGUGAGUGACAGAUCCUGCCGGGCGUCCUGGGGCAUGCAUUCGACGACAACGGAAGUCCGGGGAGUGUGCGAGCCGCCGAUGCGGCGUUCUGUGCUGGAUUCCUGCAGGUUGGCUGCUUCACGCCCGCUGUGCGCCUGUGAGGAAGUCGCCGUUCACCUGACGGUGGAGACGAGAAGCCCCAGAAAUGCCCUGGUUUGUGAGAGCCAGGCCGUUGGCGGCUGCCACGAUCCAGCACUCUCCUCGCACCCCCUCUUCCACUGCGCCUCACCCCCGCCCAGGUCCCCGGCUCCACCUGGGCUCUGCACCUGGCCCCAGCCCAGCCCCAUUGUUCCACACAGGGCCUCUCUGUCAUCACUGGAGGCCUGGCUGGGCGAGCCGGUUCCCGAAUCCACGCUCACUGUGACUUCCUUCUCCUACCCAGUUCUCUCUGCUUGAAACUCAAAGCCAUGGGGAGGGGGCCAAGAGGCUGGGGGCAGGCAGGAGGCUGGGGAGAGAGGCCCUCUCAGGGGCCUCUGUUCUGCGGGUGCUCAGGGCUCAGCGAAGCCUUCCCAGGCCGGGCGCCUCUCCCAGCCAGGGCUCGGAACGUGGCAGGUCCUGGGUGUGGGCCCAAGUGCCUCCUCUCUAGGUUCUGGCGGGGAAAGCCAGGCUGGGCAAGCUGGCGGAGGCCUCGGGAGCCCCAGGGCAGAGGGCGAGGAGGAGGUCCCCUUCAGACGUGCCCCGCGGGCAGCAGCCAGAUGCUCCUGUCACCUGUCCAGGGCAGCGCGAGGCCACGGUCC
RNAcentral lists this long non-coding RNA (1864 nucleotides) under Oryctolagus cuniculus (rabbit). Its description in RNAcentral is "lncRNA (ENSOCUG00000034390.1)". Lineage: Eukaryota; Metazoa; Chordata; Mammalia; Lagomorpha; Leporidae. The record is from RNAcentral.